UACGGAGGGUGCGAGCGUUGUCCGGAAUCACUGGGCGUAAAGGGCGCGUAGGCGGCAUGCCAAGCGUGUGGUGAAAGCCCGGGGCUCAACCCCGGGUCGGCCGUGCGGACUGGCGUGCUCGAGCACUGUAGGGGCGGGUGGAAUUCCGGGUGUAGCGGUGGAAUGCGUAGAGAUCCGGAAGAACACCGGUGGCGAAGGCGGCCUGCUGGGCAGUUUGCUGACACUGAGGCGCGACAGCGUGGGGAGCAAACAGGG
Molecule: ribosomal RNA, 255 nt
Filed under: uncultured bacterium
Lineage: Bacteria
Description: partial 16S ribosomal RNA
Rfam family: Bacterial small subunit ribosomal RNA
Source: RNAcentral